RNAcentral lists this long non-coding RNA (463 nucleotides) under Pan troglodytes (chimpanzee). Its description in RNAcentral is "lincRNA". Lineage: Eukaryota; Metazoa; Chordata; Mammalia; Primates; Hominidae. The record is from RNAcentral.
CCAGAGGGCCUUCCCAGGAGGGUAGGCGUUAAUGCAAGCAAGUGGUGGUCUGCAUAGCUGAGCAGAGUCUGCUGUGUUUCUGAUAAAUUGUGAAGAGCCACAGACCUUUGCCUAAUGAAGGGCCUCAAGCUCCUGCUGGACAUUGUAAACUGCUAGGAGAAGCUGAGUGAAUAUUAUCAAAUGCCUUAACAAAACUGCAUUAUGUGAAGCAAAUUAAAUCACUGGUUUCCACGUCCUCCAGUUUCUACAAUAAUACAUAAACAGAGAAAAAACAGGAUCCGGAGACAAAGACAAGCCUGGAAAUACCUUCAACACUGUUAAAUAGGUCCAUUUCCUUAUGCUUUUUCUCAGUAACUGAAAUUUCUCCAUUUCCCUCCAUUGCCCAUGAUGAAGUUUGCCCAGAGCAAUUGGAUGAUGAUAUCACCUAGGAUGUCACCAAUACUAUCAGCUUUCUUCACUCUGU